UCCCGGGUAGCGCAGCGGUAGCGCAGUUGACUGUUAAUCAAUUGGUCGUCGGUUCGAAUCCGACCCCGGGAGCCA
This 75-nucleotide transfer RNA is filed under the name Candidatus Saccharimonadota bacterium. RNAcentral describes it as "tRNA-Asn". It matches the Rfam family "tRNA". Rfam says of the family: Transfer RNA (tRNA) molecules are approximately 80 nucleotides in length. Their secondary structure includes four short double-helical elements and three loops (D, anti-codon, and T loops). The record is from RNAcentral. RNAcentral also lists the same sequence under 1 other name. Lineage: Bacteria; Candidatus Saccharimonadota.